AUGCACGCUGACAGAAUGCUUAACACAUGCAAGUCGAUGGGGAAGUGGUGCUUGCACCCUGGUAACCAUGGCGGACGGGUGAGUAACGCGUAAGGAACUUACCUGCGGGACCGGGAUAACAGCAGGAAACUGCUGACAAGACCGGAUAAGGUCAUUAAGCUGCAUAGCUUAGUGAUGAAAGGAGACGCCUGCGGAGAGCCUUGCGUCCUAUUAGCUAGUUGGAGGGGUAACGGCCCACCAAGGCGAAAAUAGGUAGCCGGCCUGAGAGGGUGGACGGCCACAAGGGGACUGAGAUACGGCCCUUACUCCUACGGGAGGCAGCAGUGGGGAAUAUUGGACAAUGGGGGCAACCCUGAUCCAGCAAUUCUGUGUGCACGAAGACGGUUUUCGGAUUGUAAAGUGCUUUCAGCAGGGAAGAAGGAAGUGACGGUACCUGCAGAAGAAGCGACGGCUAAAUACGUG
Molecule: ribosomal RNA, 462 nt
Filed under: uncultured bacterium
Lineage: Bacteria
Description: partial 16S ribosomal RNA
Rfam family: Bacterial small subunit ribosomal RNA
Source: RNAcentral